RNAcentral lists this ribosomal RNA (253 nucleotides) under uncultured bacterium. Its description in RNAcentral is "partial 16S ribosomal RNA". It matches the Rfam family "Bacterial small subunit ribosomal RNA", at positions 524 to 776 of the family's 1533-position model. The record is from RNAcentral.
UACGUAGGGGGCUAGCGUUGCUCGGAAUCACUGGGCGUAAAGCGCACGUAGGCGGAUUGCUAAGUCAGGGGUGAAAUCCUGGAGCUCAACUCCAGAACUGCCUUUGAUACUGGCGAUCUCGAGUCCGGGAGAGGUGAGUGGAACUGCGAGUGUAGAGGUGGAAUUCGUAGAUAUUCGCAAGAACACCAGUGGCGAAGGCGGCUCACUGGCCCGGUACUGACGCUGAGGUGCGAAAGCGUGGGGAGCAAACAGG